CAGCAUUUCUACCCAUUUUAGAAUGAAAAACAAUAUCUGGUAAAUGAGCGCCCCUACUGCGUUUGCAUACUUGUUCUAUUUCAGUAAUGUUCACCAUUAAUCUCCUUAAGAGUUCCACAUCAGUGCUUUCAAUCAUUUUACAAAUUUCUUCCUUGAAAUUGGGUUGUAUUCAUACAUUUUUGAUUGAUCACCAUCUCUUGAGAGAAUUCACCUUGUGAACUUUUUACACUGUAAGUUAACCAUUUCACAUGCAGUGUGGCAUGUUCUGCUAAAACCAUAAGUUUGAAAAAUUUGUCAAGUAAUUGAAAGCCCUGAUGUGGAACUCUGCAGAAGAGUAAUGGUGAAUUUUAAUGAAAGAGUACAUCCAUGCAUUGGUGUUCAUUUGUUGCGACAUAUUUUUCAUUCUGAAAUGGGCAGAAAUUCUGAUUUCAAUGGUCUUUUUAAUCAAAUUAUUAUUUUAAAUCCAAUGAUACCGUUAAAUCUCCAGUUACAUAUAAAAUAAAAGUUUGAGUUCUAAUUAUCAGUAUCUUGAAGUAUUUAUUUUUUUUAUUGAUUAUGUCAAAGGAAAUGGGACUAUUCAGUAAAAUAAAAAAUAAU
Non-coding RNA from Cinara cedri, 597 nucleotides. NCBI's taxonomy places the organism in Eukaryota, Metazoa, Arthropoda, Insecta, Hemiptera, Aphididae. The record is from the annotation of a GenBank genome assembly.